This 444-nucleotide ribosomal RNA is filed under the name uncultured prokaryote. RNAcentral describes it as "bacterial SSU rRNA". It matches the Rfam family "Bacterial small subunit ribosomal RNA", at positions 355 to 796 of the family's 1533-position model. The record is from RNAcentral.
UAAGGAAUAUUGGGCAAUGGAGGCAACUCUGACCCAGCCAUCCCGCGUGCAGGAUGACGGCGCUACGCGUUGUAAACUGCUUUUGUAUCAGAUGAAACACUGUCAUUUAUGAUGGUUUGACGUUAUGGUAAGAAUAAGCACCGGGUAACUCGGUGCCAGCAGCCGCGGUAAUACGGAGGGUGCAAGCGUUAUCCGGAAUUACUGGGUUUAAAGGGUGCGUAGGCGGCCUGAUAAGUCAGAGGUGAAAUCCCAUCGCUUAACGAUGGAACUGCCUUUGAUACUGUUAGGCUUGAAUUGGGUUGAGGUAAGCGGAAUGUGGCAUGUAGCGGUGAAAUGCAUAUAUAUGCCAUAGAACACCGAUUGUGAAGGCAGCUUACUGGACCUUUAUUGACGCUGAGGCACGAAAGCGUUGGGAGCGAACAGGAUUAGAUACCCGCGUAGUCC